GUACACGCUGUGACUAGCAUAUCAAUAAGCGGAGGAAAAGAAACUAACAAGGAUUCCCCUAGUAACGGCGAGUGAAGCGGGAAGAGCUCAAAUUUGAAAUCUUAAAGGGUUUCCCUUUACGAAUUGUAGUUUAAAGAAGUGUUUUCUGUUGAGGUUUUGGUAAAAGUUCUUUGGAAUAGGACAUCAUAGAGGGUGAGAAUCCCGUAUUUGACCUUUACUUUCAACUUUGUGAUACACUUUCAAAGAGUCGGAUUGUUUGGGAAUGCAGUCCAAAAUGGGUGGUAAAUCUCAUCUAAAGCUAAAUAUUGGCGAGAGACCGAUAGCGAACAAGUACCGUGAGGGAAAGAUGAAAAGAACUUUGAAAAGAGAGUUAAACAGUACGUGAAAUUGUCAAAAGGGAAGCGUUUGACACCAGUGUUGUUUUUCUGAAAAUCAAUUAAAGAACUGUUUAUGCUAAGUUGUUUAGACUUUAUCAGCUAACUGUUUAGUUUUGAGCUUUUCUUUAAUGCACUUUUCAGUUAACAAGUCAACAUCAAUUUCUUUUGCUGUAAAAAAGCUUGAGGAAGGUGGCUUGAGAUUCGUCUUAAGUGUUUAUAGCCUCUUGCCUAUGCAGUCGGAGAGAUUGAGGUCUGCAGCGUAGAUCCUUCGGGGCUAAAUGCAUUUGUGCUAAGUUAUAGCAUUUUAUAGACAACUUGUUGACUAUGAUUUGUCUUGUAGCUUACUCGCUUAUGUUAUUUUACCUACGCUUAGGAUGUUGAGUCGUAGAGCACGCAG
This 774-nucleotide ribosomal RNA is filed under the name uncultured Neocallimastigales. Its description in RNAcentral is "partial large subunit ribosomal RNA". It matches the Rfam family "Eukaryotic large subunit ribosomal RNA", at positions 22 to 628 of the family's 3401-position model. The record is from RNAcentral. Lineage: Eukaryota; Fungi; Neocallimastigomycota; Neocallimastigomycetes; Neocallimastigales.